UUCUGCCUGGCUCCCUGAAUGCCAUCUAAGAAGCUUUGUCGAUGCAGUUGGCAUACUUCCUAGUUGGCAUCUGGGGAGCCAUGCAGAC
RNAcentral lists this microRNA precursor (88 nucleotides) under Musa acuminata subsp. malaccensis (wild Malaysian banana). Its description in RNAcentral is "mir-160 microRNA precursor family". It matches the Rfam family "mir-160 microRNA precursor family". From Rfam's summary of the family: The hairpin precursors (represented here) are predicted based on base pairing and cross-species conservation -- their extents are not known. In this case the mature sequence is excised from the 5' arm of the hairpin. Lineage: Eukaryota; Viridiplantae; Streptophyta; Magnoliopsida; Zingiberales; Musaceae. The record is from Rfam by way of RNAcentral.